AAAAUAACGACGACCGGCGAAACGCGGUGGAUUCGUCCCCAAAACAGAGCGUACGGUUAAUGUCGUGCAAUAUAUUUCUACGGACUUCGUGAUGUCUGGCGGAACGUGGUUGCUUACAUCGUCCCCAAAACAGAGCGUACGGUUAAUGUCGUGCAAUAUAUUUCUACGGACUUCGUAAUGUCUGAAAGAACGUAGAUACCGACAUAAAACUCAUCAUCCCGACUUUGCAUUAUUUCUUUGGAAAUCAUGAAUACCAGCACUCGGCGUUCUGUUCCGCAUUACUCCGAACGUGAUCGUCCGUGUAAUUCGUGGUGAAAAUCAGCCAACACCGGAAGACGGUUUAGCGUACAGCACUGUAGCAAGUCAACGGAAUAAUACGGCGGUACAAAAACGAACACGUCCGACUAUCCGAACACAACCGCACCGUGUGCGCCACUCCGGUGUCCAAAACAUGACACUCCUUGACGCCAAUGAUAUGCGUAACAUUUAUGUAACGCGAGGGAAAAUUUGACUCCGGCGACAAAAGUUUUUCAGCUCACGGGCCACCCGAAGGUUUUUUUUCUAAAAUUAUAUUGGUCGUGAAUAACAAAUAAAUGUACAUUACAUUUCUCCUCUACUGCCCUCUCAAGUUCUCACCUACAACAGCGGUCCACCCACGUGCGCGGUUGCCCGGCUAUUUAAAAUUUUUUCAUGAAUAAAUGGUUAGGUAAAUUAA
This is a non-coding RNA of Cinara cedri, 715 nucleotides long. The record is from the annotation of a GenBank genome assembly. Lineage: Eukaryota; Metazoa; Arthropoda; Insecta; Hemiptera; Aphididae.